RNAcentral lists this long non-coding RNA (4572 nucleotides) under Phocoena sinus (vaquita). Its description in RNAcentral is "lncRNA (ENSPSNG00000022552.1)". The record is from RNAcentral. Lineage: Eukaryota; Metazoa; Chordata; Mammalia; Artiodactyla; Phocoenidae.
GACUUUGGAUUUCCGUCUCUUGCGGCGGCGGGAAAGCAUCCGCUAGCUCUGGGAUGAAGCGCCACUAAUCCUGCAUCCCCAGACAGCAUCCCUUUCCUAGUCGAGGUAACUAAAACCAAUCAGUAAAAAAGUGGGCGGUGCCUACUGCUGAGAGGAUUCAGUCUCUGUUCCGACAGCCGUUCCGGCCCGGCAGCUCUCCUGCUCUCGGGCUGCGAGGGGGGAGCGGUGGCGUGGACUCAGAGCGCUCGGGGCUCUCCACCUGGUUCUGGCACAGGAGAGGCACCGGGUUCUGGAGAAAAGAACACGUGGUUGAGUUAGACCUGGUUGUUAUUCAGGUCUCUGUAUGGGGAACAGCCACAGAUCACAAGGGUGGAAUGAAGACGGCUAAUUGGAAGUGUCGACUGAAAAAAUGCACAACCUAAAAGUUGGGAAUUAUGUUUUAUUCAGCGGACAUACUGAGGACUUAAGCCCGGAGACAGCCUCUCACGUAGCUCUGAGGGAUUUCUCCAAAGAGGUAAGGGAGGAGCCAAGAUAUAUAGGAAUUUUUUGCAACAAACAAACAAAAAACAAAAAAACCCCAGGUAGUCGGAACAUCAAAAGCUUACUGUUAAUUAAAGAAAAACCAGAAUCUCAAGUUAAUGCAUUUAGCACUUUUCUACGUAUGAGCAGGUGUGCAGGAUGCUCAUUGAAAUCAUUUCUUUGAUACGCACCUUAGCCAUCUGGGGCCAGUAUCCUGCUCGCUCCAUCCUGAACACCCUCCGGGUGCACCAUGGGGACGUGGGGUGCCUGUGGUUGCUGAGGGCUUGAUGAUCGCAACAUCCUUUGUUUACUGAUAUGGCAGGCGACAUUCUCUGUCCACAGGAGGCUGUUACAGGAAUCCAACCCAGACAUGGGUGUACUUGGAUAAGAGCACCGUCGUGGGCAAUGGGAUAUAGAUAUACUUUGGAGGUGGAGCCAGCAGUGGAUUGGGUGUAGUUGUGAGAAAAAUCCUAGGGAUCUAGGGUAACGUUGUGAGGUGAAUGGUGGAGCAGAGAUGGUUAUGAGCGGGUUUGGGGUGAAAAUCAAGAUUUGGGACACCUCAGGUUUGAUAUGUCUCUUAGAAAUACAAGAGGAGACAUUACAGAUAAAUGAAUCUGGAAUUCAGAGAUGUUUUGGCUGGAGACGUGGAUUUGGGUGUCCUAGUGUCAAAAUGAGACUGAAAGCCCUAGGACUAAAUGAGAACACCUGGGGAGCGAGAGUAGCGAGUGAAUGAGGCGAGAGCCCCAGGCUGAGACGCGGGCUCUGUGACCUUUAGAAGUCAGAAGGGCAGAACAAUCUAGUAAAGGGAGUACAGGAGGAGCGGCUAAGGGGAAUGAGGAAAACGGGCCGAGUAUGGUGACCAGAACCACGUGAAGAAAGUGUCAAGAAAGAAGAAACAUCAAAUGCUAUUAAGAGUUAAGCAUAAAAAACCCAACAAAAACCCGACUUAGCAAGAUGCACGGCACUGACAAGACGGUUUUAGUAACGUGUUAAGGAUGACAGUUGAAUUGGAGUGGGCUCAAGGCAGAGCCGGAGGAAAAGGGUAGACCGUCAGUAAAGGCCUGUAAGGAAGAGCAGGGAGGUACAGAGAGGGUAAAAAUGUGAACUAUUACAGCGGGUUUGUAUGUGAAUGGAAAUGAAACAUUGACUGGGGUGGGGGAUAGAAUUACAGGAUCAAAGUCCUUGAGUGGAUGAGAGGGACAGAUCUGACCCCAGAUGAGGCCACCCUGAGGGGCUGCAUUAUUCUCACCUGACCAGGCCAUGGAAAUUCCUGGAAUGUGGCCACCUCUCAGCCAGGCUGGGGCCCCUGUCUGCCGGGUGUGGCCACAUCUGAGCAUCAGAGCUGGUUCCACCGCCUCCUCAGGACCUACCCCCCUCCCCUGGUGUUGCCAACAUCCCAGGGCUUGGAGCCCAGGACAACUCAGCUAGAUUUUAGUUAAGAGGUUCUGCUGAGUGUGGAAAUAGCUAAAUACUAUUUCUAGGAGGCGACAGAGCAGAGACUCUGCAAUCAGGAGAGUGGAUUUGAAUCUUGGCCCUGAAACUUCCCUCCCAGCUGUGCGACCUGGACAAAUCACUUCUCUGAGUCUCAGGUUUCUCAUCUGCAACGUGGAGAUGAUAACUCUACCAAGACACCUUCUGAGAUUGUGAGGUAGAAACGGGAUAGUGGGUGUGCAAAGGCUCCGUCAGAGCUCUGUAAGCUGGGACGUGAGAUGCAAAUGCCAUAAAUUGUCAUGAGACUUCAUUCACUCUAUCAUUCCCCCAUUCAUCUCUCAAAACAGGCACAGCUUGUAGAGGAAGCAUUUCUUGGGACACAUUCCUGGGCACUCCUCUCUGUGGCUUUAAUUUUCAUAACUAGACUUUUAAGCUUUUUUAAAGAUAAGAGCAAGUGCUUGGCUCCUUGUGAGAGCCUCCAAAUUUCACUACAGACAUAAAUAUAUCACGUCAAGAUCACCAGCUGAGAGGGAGGGGAGACGUAUUAUUAUCUUCAAAGCUUUCUGGGAACCUAUUAAAUGCUAAUAACAAAGCACUGGGAUAGUCUAGAGUGCAAACACCUAUCACAUGCAUGCGCCUCCUUUCUCCCUGGGCGCCCAUCAACAUUUCUGCUGGAGGAAGAGAGAAUCAAGUGUGUCCCCGAAGAAUGGACCCUCUGAGUGCUCCAGGACCUGCUAGCGGCCUGGCCUAUCCACACCUGAAGCUGAAACCCCAUGUGUUUUGCGUAGCGCUAGGGAGAAAGGUAAAGAAACGAAUACGGGCUGGGUACACAGUGUUUGGAGCCAUAAAAGGCUCAUUACUCAGGUUAUCUCAUCACUGAGUUGGGAGGUAAUCGUUCUCUCCUCAUCAAACUGGGAGGGAAAUUGAGGCUCACUGGCUUACGUGGCCAACAAGAGCCAGAGGGGGACAUGGUAACUCAUUUCUCCCUGCUUCAAAGCCCACUCGUUCUGCUAACAGAGUAGGUGUUUCAUAAAGGUUUUCGUAGUGAAUGAGCGAGUGGAUGCAGAAUUGCCUUUUGUCAAAGGACAUCAACAGCCGGAAGGCACAGCCCCGAUUACACAGAAGCAAAACCGCCUUGUAAGAUUCAUGUGAGGUCUCAGAGUGUGGCCUGAAAAACUCAGGAGUUUCCCAAACUCUCGAGUGAUAAGAUCACAGGCAAGUUGCAGAACCUGUUGGGGGCUGGUUUCUCCAUUUCUAAUCUUGGGGCAAACAUGUCUUGCUCCUCCCUCCCUUCCAGGAAGCAGAGUUAACAGAACACAGGUGUUUGUAGCUCUGGCCACGAGCCUUAAAGUCCUUGAAAGAUGAGUCCUGGCUCGUGACCCUCCCCGUGGCCAGUACUGGCUACAUAACUCGUGGGGCCCAGCACAAAAUGGAAAUGUUAUGCCCGUGGAUUGCAAAUUAGUAAGAACUUCAAGGCGGUGGCCUCAGAGCAGUAAACCGAGGCUGGGGCCCUUCUGAGUGUGGGGUCCCGUGUGACUGUACGGGCUGCACACCCACGAAGCCAGCCCUACCUGUGGCUGUUGAUUCUGGAGAAGGGAAGAAAAGAUCUUAAAAGGAGAUUGGUGGGACAUCUUGGGAGCACCCAAAAUAGGACAAAUCAAUAAAGUCACCAUGGAGAUCAGGUUCUAGUUUCUUGAAAGACACAAUUUCAGACUAGAAAGAGUGUUAAAAUUCAUCUAGUAAAGACAAAUAUCAUAUGAUAUCACUUAUUUGUGGAAUCUAAAAAAAUAGUACAAAUGACCUUAUUUACAAAACAGAAAUAGAGUCACAGAUGUAGAAAACGAAUUUACGGUUACCAAGGGGGAAAGGAGGAGGAUAAACUGGGAGAUUGGGAUUGACAUAUGCACACUACUAUAUAUAAAAUAGAUAACUAAUGAGGAUCUACUGUAUAGCACAAGGAACUCUACUCAAUACUCUGUAAGGAUGUAUACGGGAAAAUAAAGAAGAGUGGAUAUAUGUAUAACUGAUUCACUUUGCUGUACACCUGAAACUAACACAACUAUAUCAAACUAAAUCAACUAUAUUUCAAUAAAAUUUUUUUAAAAAGUAUUAAGUCCACAAGGACCAAGGAAAUGGGAGGAGAGGCAAUGGUAAUUGAAGAGGAUUUGAAAGUGGGCAUGUGGGGUAGGAGGACGCACAGACCAGAAAUGGGGGAAUUGAGUGAAAAUCUGAAUACUGCCCCUCCCCCUUCCUAGAAUGCCUAGUAGCAAGUUUUAUAUCCCCACCCAAGGCAGGAGAUAAGAAUCUUCUCUGGAGUAAAUCCCAGAGACUACCAUUUGGGAUUCUUUACAAUGAGCUGGUUUGAAGUUCUGUCCUAUUAGACUGAAGCCCUAGGACCCAAGUCUGGCAUACGUGCAAAGAGAUUUCUAGGCUCCCAAGUGAGAGCCGAUGGCUAAGUACCUCCAGACACAGGGGAAAUCUUCUAACUUGAAGACAGAAAACAAAACAAAAAAAAAAAAAAAUGGGAAAAAGAAUUGGGAGGAUCAGAGACAACCUCAAACUGACAAUCUCCCUGAAAAGAGUAGGGAUGAUCUAUGAAAGAAGAACCAGAAAGCUUUGGGG